RNAcentral lists this ribosomal RNA (433 nucleotides) under uncultured bacterium. Its description in RNAcentral is "partial 16S ribosomal RNA". It matches the Rfam family "Bacterial small subunit ribosomal RNA", at positions 29 to 507 of the family's 1533-position model. The record is from RNAcentral.
AACGAACGCUGGCGGCAUGCCUAACACAUGCAAGUCGAACGAGACCUUCGGGUCUAGUGGCGCACGGGUGCGUAACGCGUGGGAACCUGCCCUUAGGUUCGGAAUAACUCUCCGAAAGGGGUGCUAAUACCGGAUAAUUUCUUCUGACCACAGAUUUAUCGACUUUGUAUGGGCCCGCGUUGGAUUAGCUAGUUGGUAGGGUAAAAGCCUACCAAGGCGAGGAUCCAUAGCUGGUCUGAGAGGAUGAUCAGCCACACUGGGACUGUGACACGGCCCAGACUCCUACGGGAGGCAGGAGUGGGGAAUAUUGGACAAUGGGCGAAAGCCUGAUCGAGCAAUGCCGCGUGAGUGAUGAAGGCCUUAGGGUUGUAAAGCUCUUUUACCCGGGAUGAUAAUGACAGUACCGGGAGAAUAAGCUCCGGCUAACUCCGUG